CUUACAGAGAUCUUUGGCAUUCUGUCCACCUCCUCUCUAUUAUACAUGUGUAUAAGUAUACGUAUCUGCGUUUGUGUUUGUGAGUGGAGGUGGGCAUACUGCCAGUAGAGAUCUGUUAG
This 119-nucleotide microRNA precursor is filed under the name Eutrema salsugineum. RNAcentral describes it as "MIR394 microRNA precursor family". It matches the Rfam family "MIR394 microRNA precursor family". Lineage: Eukaryota; Viridiplantae; Streptophyta; Magnoliopsida; Brassicales; Brassicaceae. The record is from Rfam by way of RNAcentral.